GCGAACAGUCUAACAGAUUGUGUUCGUUGUCGACGAAACCUGCCUUAAGCCGCUGAGAUACCUGCUGUGAUAGAACGAGGAGAUUAGGCAGAAAUGAUCACGGAUUAUCACCAGAUUAAAUGCAAAUAGAGUAUUUGUAACAUAUGGGACCAUGUUUAGCAGUAUGUAUUCUUGCACCAGUAUGGUCGGUUUAUUCUGGGGUUUAAUUCUAUGACGUGUGUUGUAUAGACAAAGCUUAAAGCGACUUAUAUUUAUAGGGAAGCUGAUAUUGACAACAUACGUGGCAACAUAGACGGGAAAAGUAUUUAGCAGUUGGUGGAAGCAUGAACAUAGACGAUCGUUUCUGUAAAGCUUUUAUUAUGUGAAGUUGCUACUUGCCCUUCAGCAAGUAAUAUAUUAUGCAAACCUCCUCCGCCAGAAGAGUCAUUUUACUUAAGUUCAGAAAGGGCUCCGUCAACAAUUAUUCGCCUGUUUAGGGCUUAUAUUCGUUAAGUAUAAGUUUUGAAUAAAAUUUGCCGACCUUAUUCUAUUCUGGGGGAAAAUAGAAGUAAUGGGAAUACCAGGAGUGGUCAUAAAACAGAGCUGAAGUGGUGGAAUAAAGCUGGGAAUUAUUGGAUCCAUACCUGGCCUACUAUUCCCUGUUAUUUAUCAUAAUAGGUAUAUAAUCGAUUUUAUGAUAUCGAUUAAUUGAAUUAUUCUUGUAAUUGAAUACAGCCACUUUCUAUAUACAUCGUGAAUCAGGAGUAGAAUCUAGACAAGAAUAGGUUCAGCUAAUGCAAUAAUCAACCGUAUUGACGAUAUUCGAUCGCUUUCAGUGAUAUGACAACACGGACUACGCU
Patella vulgata (common limpet) is the source of this 839-nucleotide long non-coding RNA. RefSeq lists it as uncharacterized. The record is from RefSeq and is a predicted model, not a curated record. The transcript is spliced from 3 exons. Lineage: Eukaryota; Metazoa; Mollusca; Gastropoda; Patellidae.